AGAGUUUGAUCCUGGCUCAGGAUGAACGCUGGCGGUGUGCCUAAUACAUGCAAGUCGAGCGGCAGCACAGUCUUCGGACUGGUGGCGAGCGGCGGACGGCUGAGUAACGCGUGGGAACGUACCCUGAAGUGAGGAAUAAGCACCAGAAAUGGUGUCUAAUGCCGCAUGUGCUCUACGGAGUAAAGCUUCGGCGCUUUGGG
This 200-nucleotide ribosomal RNA is filed under the name uncultured bacterium. RNAcentral describes it as "partial 16S ribosomal RNA". It matches the Rfam family "Bacterial small subunit ribosomal RNA", at positions 8 to 224 of the family's 1533-position model. The record is from RNAcentral.